CCCUUAGAUGUCCUGGGCUGCACGCGCGCUACACUGAUGUGUCCAGUAAGCACCUAACCUAUUCCGAGAGGAGCGGGUAACCUUAGUAAAGCACAUCGUGAUGGGGAUAGAUUAUUGCAAUUAUUAGUCUUGAACGAGGAAUUCCUAGUAAGCACAAGUCAUCAGCUUGUGUUGAUUACGUCCCUGCCCUUUGUACACACCGCCCGUCGCUCCUACCGAUUGAAUGUUCCGGUGAGCUCUUCGGACUGCGCGGUCUGCAGUUUCUGCGUUCCGUGCGGAAAGUUGUGCAAACCUUAACAUUUAGAGGAAGGAGAAGUCGUAACA
RNAcentral lists this ribosomal RNA (324 nucleotides) under uncultured eukaryote. RNAcentral describes it as "partial 18S ribosomal RNA". It matches the Rfam family "Eukaryotic small subunit ribosomal RNA", at positions 1470 to 1796 of the family's 1831-position model. The record is from RNAcentral.